UCUGAUGUUUAGUUCUGAGUGGAUCAAGGAAUAUUUCAUCUACUACAUUAGAAGACAAUGAAGACUGCUAGCUAUCGGAAUGCUUUCUUGGAUGUGGCUAUCUUUAUUUGAUGCCUUUAUCCUUAUGAUGUAUGGAUAUUGCUCAUUACCUAUUGCUUAUUGCUUGAUCAAAGUCCAAAGGAAAAUGAGUUUCUAUAGGACAUUCUUGUCUGUUGGAUUGCAUCACAUUGGUCAAAUAUUUUCAACUCUUAACUUUUAAAAA
RNAcentral lists this long non-coding RNA (262 nucleotides) under Lathyrus oleraceus (garden pea). Its description in RNAcentral is "Pisum sativum (pea) long non-coding RNA (PSAT_LNC013050)". The record is from RNAcentral. Lineage: Eukaryota; Viridiplantae; Streptophyta; Magnoliopsida; Fabales; Fabaceae.